GGUGGCUCAGUGGUAAAGUACUUGCCUUGCAUGCAUGAGGCCCUGGGUUCAAUUCCUCAGCACCA
Molecule: transfer RNA, 65 nt
Filed under: Dipodomys ordii (Ord's kangaroo rat)
Lineage: Eukaryota; Metazoa; Chordata; Mammalia; Rodentia; Heteromyidae
Rfam family: tRNA
About the family: Transfer RNA (tRNA) molecules are approximately 80 nucleotides in length. Their secondary structure includes four short double-helical elements and three loops (D, anti-codon, and T loops).
Source: Rfam by way of RNAcentral